UUAUCUGAACCUUCGGGGAACGAUAACGGCGUCGAGCGGCGGACGGGUGAGUAAUGCCUAGGAAAUUGCCCUGAUGUGGGGGAUAACCAUUGGAAACGAUGGCUAAUACCGCAUGAUGCCUACGGGCCAAAGAGGGGGACCUUCGGGCCUCUCGCGUCAGGAUAUGCCUAGGUGGGAUUAGCUAGUUGGUGAGGUAAGGGCUCACCAAGGCGACGAUCCCUAGCUGGUCUGAGAGGAUGAUCAGCCACACUGGAACUGAGACACGGUCCAGACUCCUACGGGAGGCAGCAGUGGGGAAUAUUGCACAAUGGGCGCAAGCCUGAUGCAGCCAUGCCGCGUGUGUGAAGAAGGCCUUCGGGUUGUAAAGCACUUUCAGUCGUGAGGAAGGUAGUGUAGUUAAUAGCUGCAUUAUUUGACGUUAGCGACAGAAGAAGCACCGGCUAACUCCGUGCCAGCAGCCGCGGUAAUACGGAGGGUGCGAGCGUUAAUCGGAAUUACUGGGCGUAAAGCGCAUGCAGGUGGUUUGUUAAGUCAGAUGUGAAAGCCCGGGGCUCAACCUCGGAAUAGCAUUUGAAACUGGCAAUACUAGAGUACUGUAGAGGGGGGUAGAAUUUCAGGUGUAGCGGUGAAAUGCGUANAGAUCUGAAGGAAUACCGGUGGCGAAGCGGCCCCCUGGACAGAUACUGACACUCAUAUGCGAAAGCGUUGGGGAGCAAACUGGAUUUACCAUUACCCUGGUAGUCCACGCCGUAAACGAUGU
Molecule: ribosomal RNA, 760 nt
Filed under: Vibrio sp. JAM45
Lineage: Bacteria; Pseudomonadati; Pseudomonadota; Gammaproteobacteria; Vibrionales; Vibrionaceae
Description: bacterial SSU rRNA
Rfam family: Bacterial small subunit ribosomal RNA
Source: RNAcentral